This 357-nucleotide long non-coding RNA is filed under the name Monodelphis domestica (gray short-tailed opossum). RNAcentral describes it as "lncRNA (ENSMODG00000032796.2)". The record is from RNAcentral. Lineage: Eukaryota; Metazoa; Chordata; Mammalia; Didelphimorphia; Didelphidae.
CGUAUUGAAAAAUGCUCAUCUCCACAGAGGGAAUUGAUGAACUGCAACUUUGCAAUGAAGAAACUCCAUUCACCCAACCAAGGCAGGUCAAACAAAGCUCCUGCUCUUUCAGCCUUAGGGAGUUGCCUGCAGCCUGGAGAAGCUAAGCAACUUGUCCAUGAUCAUCCAGACAAUCCAUAUCAGAGAUGUCACUUGAACCCAGAUCCUUCUAACUCAGCAGCUAGCUCCCUCUCCAGGAUACUACACAGCCACUCAAAUGCUAGCAAUAUACAACCAUUUACUCAUAAUGUGACCUUGGACUUGUCUCUCUGGGUCUCAGUUUCCUCCUCUAUAAAAAGAAGGGGUUGCACUUGCUAG